GCCACUUUAGCUCAGCGGUAGAGCAGCGCAUUCGUAACGCGCAGGUCGGGAGUUCAAAUCUGCCAAGUGGCU
Molecule: transfer RNA, 72 nt
Filed under: Bacteroidales bacterium
Lineage: Bacteria; Pseudomonadati; Bacteroidota; Bacteroidia; Bacteroidales
Also listed under: 1 other name
Description: tRNA-Thr
Rfam family: tRNA
About the family: Transfer RNA (tRNA) molecules are approximately 80 nucleotides in length. Their secondary structure includes four short double-helical elements and three loops (D, anti-codon, and T loops).
Source: RNAcentral